This 110-nucleotide small nuclear RNA is filed under the name Tupaia belangeri chinensis (Chinese tree shrew). Lineage: Eukaryota; Metazoa; Chordata; Mammalia; Scandentia; Tupaiidae. The record is from RNAcentral.
GUGCUCACUUCAGCAGUACAUAUACUAAAAUUGGAACAAUAUAGAGAAGAUUAGCAUGGCCCCGGCACAAGGGUGACACGCAAAUUUGUGCAGUGUUGUUCCAUAUUUUA